AGUGAACGCUGGCGGUAGGCCUAACACAUGCAAGUCGAACGGCAGCACAGUAAGAGCUUGCUCUUACGGGUGGCGAGUGGCGGACGGGUGAGGAAUACAUCGGAAUCUACUUUUUCGUGGGGGAUAACGUAGGGAAACUUACGCUAAUACCGCAUACGACCUACGGUUGAAAGCAGGGGAUCUUCGCACCUUGCGCGAUUGAAUGAGCCGAUGUCGGAUUAGCUAGUUGGCGGGGUAAAGGCCCACCAAGGCGACGAUCCGUAGCUGGUCUGAGAGGAUGAUCAGCCACACUGGAACUGAGACACGGUCCAGACUCCUACGGGAGGCAGCAGUGGGGAAUAUUGGACAAUGGGCGCAAGCCUGAUCCAGCCAUACCGCGUGGGUGAAGAAGGCCUUCGGGUUGUAAAGCCCUUUUGUUGGGAAAGAAAAGCAGCAGGUUAAUAUCCCGCUGUUCUGACGGUACCCAAAGAAUAAGCACCGGCUAACUUCGUG
This 492-nucleotide ribosomal RNA is filed under the name uncultured bacterium. RNAcentral's name for it is "partial 16S ribosomal RNA". It matches the Rfam family "Bacterial small subunit ribosomal RNA", at positions 29 to 507 of the family's 1533-position model. The record is from RNAcentral.